GCAAAAAAAGUUAUGUGAUUGGUUUUGUAUGCGUUAGCGAUCAUCAAACCUGUGACAUAGAUAAGAUUGGAGUUCAUGCAGUUGGAAUGCCUGAGACCAGUUUUAGCCUUGCUGCUCUUGCUUCUUUGGCUACUGCUCCGGCUAAGGCUUUCUUUCUGCUUUGACUUGCCUUCCUUAUCUUUCAAUCUGGACUUGCAUGUAUUCCAUGACUAUUUCGAGCGAUUGCUGCUAUCUGGCUUGAGUUAGACAAGCAGAGAAGGAUAUUAUGCCACUAGUGACCCGCCUGUCUAUAUAGUAUCUAGUACUAGGACUCAUAGAGUAGAGGCACUAUUGGGCGGGGCUUCCUCGAUAACAGCUUCUCGCGUAGCUAACUGCCAGACAAGGAUGCAAAUCAACUCCUUAUAUAGAAUGCAGAUCGACACAUUCAAUGAAGCAGUCAGUACAACAGACAAGUUACUUUCUUAUUCUAGGAUUGGAAGAUCAUCUAUCUAUUAGCAUACACGUACCGACAGUUAGACUAGAACUCUCUCCCCAAUCAAUCGCAGUAACUGGCUGUAAGAGAGCGGACUGUCUACUAUCUAUGUCAUGCCUUGGCAGGUGAAUAUG
This 606-nucleotide long non-coding RNA is filed under the name Solanum melongena (eggplant). RNAcentral's name for it is "long non-coding RNA (SMEL_LNC000158)". Lineage: Eukaryota; Viridiplantae; Streptophyta; Magnoliopsida; Solanales; Solanaceae. The record is from RNAcentral.